GACGAGCGCUGGCGGCGUGCUUAACACAUGCAAGUCGAACGGAAAGGCCCUGCUUUUGUGGGGUGCUCGAGUGGCGAACGGGUGAGUAACACGUGAGUAACCUGCCCUUGAAUUUGGGAUAAAUUCAGGAAGCUGGGGCUAAUACCGGAUAGGAGCUCCUGCUGCAUGGUGGGGGUUGGAAAGUUUCGGCGGUUGGGGAUGGACUCGCGGCUUAUCAGCUUGUUGGUGGGGUAGUGGCUUACCAAGGCUUUGACGGGUAGCCGGCCUGAGAGGGUGACCGGCCACAUGGGGACUGCGAUACGGCCCAGACUCCUACGGGAGGCAGCAGUGGGGAAUAUUGCACAAUGGGCGGAAGCCUGAUGCAGCAACGCCGCGUGCGGGAUGACGGCCUUCGGGUUGUAAACCGCUUUCGCCUGUGACGAAGCGUGAGUGACGGUAAUGGGUAAAGAAGCACCGGCUAACUACGUG
RNAcentral lists this ribosomal RNA (468 nucleotides) under uncultured bacterium. RNAcentral describes it as "partial 16S ribosomal RNA". It matches the Rfam family "Bacterial small subunit ribosomal RNA", at positions 28 to 507 of the family's 1533-position model. The record is from RNAcentral.